Molecule: ribosomal RNA, 497 nt
Filed under: uncultured bacterium
Lineage: Bacteria
Description: partial 16S ribosomal RNA
Rfam family: Bacterial small subunit ribosomal RNA
Source: RNAcentral
GAUGAACGCUGGCGGCGUGCCUAAUACAUGCAAGUCGAGCGAACGGACGAGAAGCUUGCUUCUCUGAUGUUAGCGGCGGACGGGUGAGUAACACGUGGAUAACCUACCUAUAAGACUGGGAUAACUUCGGGAAACCGGAGCUAAUAACGGAUAAUAUUCUCAACCGCAUGGUUCAAAAGUGAAAGACGGUCUUGCUGUCACUUAUAGAUGGAUCCGCGCUGCAUUAGCUAGUUGGUAAGGUAACGGCUUACCAAGGCAACGAUGCAUAGCCGACCUGAGAGGGUGAUCGGCCACACUGGAACUGAGACACGGUCCAGACUCCUACGGGAGGCAGCAGUAGGGAAUCUUCCGCAAUGGGCGAAAGCCUGACGGAGCAACGCCGCGUGAGUGAUGAAGGUCUUCGGAUCGUAAAACUCUGUUAUUAGGGAAGAACAUAUGUGUAAGUAACUGUGCACAUCUUGACGGUACCUAAUCAGAAAGCCACGGCUAACUACGUG